RNAcentral lists this long non-coding RNA (443 nucleotides) under Patiria miniata (bat star). RNAcentral's name for it is "uncharacterized LOC119733197". The record is from RNAcentral. Lineage: Eukaryota; Metazoa; Echinodermata; Asteroidea; Valvatida; Asterinidae.
CGACAGAUGAACGGAUGACCUGCUUGCUGGGCUACCCAUUACUGAUUCUUGAGCUGAUUGAAAUCAACCAGUCUGAGUUAGUUCUCUUGGUUGGGGAGUUAUUUGGGUGGUAACGAAGCAGUGGACCAGGCAAUCAAUCGAGCACACCAUUGAGACAUGGAUCAACCUCCACUGAUUGACGGAGUUGUGCUGACUAAGAUUGACACCAUUGAUGAUAAACUGAUCGAAAAUAACCAGUCUGAGUUAGUUCUCUUGGUUGGGGAGUUAUUUGGGUGGUAACGAAGCAGUGGACCAGGCAAUCAAUCGAGCACACCAUUGAGACAUGGAUCAACCUCCACUGAUUGACGGAGUAGUGCUGACUAAGAUUGACACCAUUGAUGAUAAACAAAGUGAGGACCACUGACUGAUGAGGGAAUUGCUCUACUGAGAUGAGGAUGAGCCUG